CGGAGGAUGCAAGCGUUAUCCGGAUUUACUGGGUUUAAAGGGUGCGUAGGUUGUGUGGUAAGUCUAUGAUUAAAGCCCACGGCUUAACCAUGGAAAUGUCAUAGAUACUGUCACACUAGAGGUCAGCUGGGGAAAGUGGAAUUCCAGGUGUAGGGGUAAAAAUCCGUUGAUAUCUGGAGGAACACCAGUGGCGAAAGCGACUUUCUAGACUGAUCCUGACACUGAGGCACGAAAGCCAGGGGAGCGAAGCGGUUUAGAUACCCGCGUAGUCCUGGCCCUAAACGAUGGAUGCUAGACGUUAGAGGUAUCGACCCCUUUAGUGUCGCAGCGAAAAGCGUUAAGCAUCCCACCUAGGGGAGUACGGUCGCAAGGUUA
Molecule: ribosomal RNA, 375 nt
Filed under: uncultured organism
Description: bacterial SSU rRNA
Rfam family: Bacterial small subunit ribosomal RNA
Source: RNAcentral